Molecule: ribosomal RNA, 376 nt
Filed under: uncultured bacterium
Lineage: Bacteria
Description: bacterial SSU rRNA
Rfam family: Bacterial small subunit ribosomal RNA
Source: RNAcentral
AUACGUAGGUGGCGAGCGUUGUCCGGAUUUACUGGGUGUAAAGGGUGCGUAGGCGGGUUAUCAAGUUGGGUGUGAAACCUCCGUGCUUAACACGGAGCCUGCAUUCAAAACUGGUAAUCUUGAGUGAGGUAGAGGUAGAUGGAAUUCCCGGUGUAGCGGUGAAAUGCGUAGAGAUCGGGGGGAACACCAGUGGCGAAGGCGGUCUACUGGGCCUUAACUGACGCUGAGGCACGAAAGCAUGGGUAGCAAACAGGAUUAGAUACCCUGGUAGUCCAUGCUGUAAACGAUGAUUGCUAGGUGUGGGUGGACUGACCCCAUCCGUGCCGGAGUCAACACAAUAAGCAAUCCACCUGGGGAGUACGGCCGCAAGGUUAAA